CGGAGGGAUCAUUACACAACAAAAUAUGAAGGCCUGGCUUUCGCGGCCGGCUGAAGUAUUUUUUUCACCCAUGUCUUUUGCGCACUUGUUGUUUCCUGGGCGGGUUCGCCCGCCACCAGGACCAAACCAUAAACCUUUUUUUCUUAUGCAGUUUCCAUCAGCGUCAGUAAAAACAAUGUAAUUAUUACAACUUUCAACAACGGAUCUCUUGGUUCUGGCAUCGAUGAAGAACGCAGCGAAAUGCGAUACGUAGUGUGAAUUGCAGAAUUCAGUGAAUCAUCGAAUCUUUGAACGCACAUUGCGCCCUUUGGUAUUCCAAAGGGCAUGCCUGUUCGAGCGUCAUUUGUACCUUCAAGCUUUGCUUGGUGUUGGGCGUUUUUUUGUCUCCCUCUUUCUGGGAGACUCGCCUUAAAACGAUUGGCAGCCGGCCUACUGGUUUCGGAGCGCAGCACAUUUUUUGCGCUUUGUAUCAGGAGAAAAGGACGGUACUCCAUCAAGACUCUACAUUUUUCACUUUUGACCUCGGAUCAGGUAGGGAUACCCGCUGAACUUAAGCAUAUCA
This 562-nucleotide ribosomal RNA is filed under the name Bipolaris oryzae. RNAcentral's name for it is "eukaryotic LSU rRNA". The stretch from base 189 to 342 matches the Rfam family "5.8S ribosomal RNA". Lineage: Eukaryota; Fungi; Ascomycota; Dothideomycetes; Pleosporales; Pleosporaceae. The record is from RNAcentral.